GAGAGCUUCAAGGUUAUCUAAGGAUCUGGUGGCACAAUGGAAAUGGGGCCCAACGGGGAGAAGUCCUGUAGGGAUGAAGUGAUUUAAGAGAACCAGAGUCUUGAGCUUUGAUUGGAAGGAGACUUGCGCUCUGCUGGCCAACCCCAAGUCCACCUAAGGCAGUUUUGAAAAUAUCAUCCAAAACAUUUCAUGUGGUUUCUGAUGCGCUAUUCUGCUGGAGAGGUCACCCUCCAGAGACUGCCGUGUGGCUUUGCAGGAAGCAGUUGUCAGAAAGAUGAGGAGAUGAAGCACCGAGGGACCGAGUCAAAUUUGUAAAGGUGAUGUAAAUGAGCUUUCGAGUCAAUAAGUCAGGCCCGAGACUAUUCUGCAGAAUCAAGCCACCUGAGGGGAAGGACCUCAUGUGAUAUCACAAAAGUGUCCUUAACUGGGAGCACUGCGUAGCACAUUCACAAUGCCAGGUGAGUAGUCUGUGCGGGAGUCAAGUGAAUCAAAAGCUUUAUUACAGGUUAAGCCAAGGAGCGUGCUGAGGCCUUUGCUGUAAAAGUGUUCUGGGACCUUCGUUGUGUUUCGGGUUUGGUGUUGCUGACAAACACGAUGGACAAGGCGUGGCAGAGAUUUUAUGUUCGAAAGUCAGUCUUCUUUCAUCUGCUUUAUGCCAACAGAAAUAAUUGUAAAACAGAGUAUUGUGAUUGAGCAUGCCAGCUCUUGUCAGGUGGUGAGAAUGUAGUUAUCCAGACUGGAAUCUGGACUGCGUACCAAGUCAAGUGUGUGGCUAUUUUUCAAUGCUUGUCUUUUUACUGGUUGGUUGAUUCAUCAUCUGUUAAAUACCAUGGCACUUUUGUGUGCAUUGUCUUUGUUUACCGAGCAAUAUAGAUGGGAUUUCUCUGUGCUUUCUUUAGAAGAAGUUCACCUAAAAGAAAAAUCCAGGUUGCAUACAGAACUUUUUUCCUCCUCCUAUCAUCACAGCAGCUCUGAGCUUUUCAGACUUUUCCAAAUGAAACAUGACAUACUUCAUUUAUACAGCCAGACACAUUCAAAAAUAAAUAAA
Alligator mississippiensis (American alligator) is the source of this 1048-nucleotide long non-coding RNA. RefSeq lists it as uncharacterized. Lineage: Eukaryota; Metazoa; Chordata; Crocodylia; Alligatoridae. The transcript is spliced from 4 exons. The record is from RefSeq and is a predicted model, not a curated record.